CCCUGCAGUCUAGUUUAGAGGCUUUUGCACUAUUUGGGGGGAAAGAAUGUACUGGCGAUUUAGACAAGGGGGUGGCAGUGGUGGUGAGAAGUGGCUGGAUUUAUGGCAGGAUCAGGCAGGAUCUAGGACUCGGUGAAGGAUGGGAAAAAACGAGGACAAAUCUUUAGAAGAAUCAGGGAUGCACCGAGAGGGAUCAAGGGGGAGUCCUAGGUGCUGGCCUGGGCAGCUGCAGGGACGGUGGGCCACUUACAGACAGGAGAAAACUGGUGGUGUGGUUGGUCUGAGAAGGGAGUGAGGUCCAGGUGUUUGAAAAUUCCAGGAACACCGUUUGAAGAAUACGGACCGACUGCAGGAAUAACCCCUCUCUACAGUCUUCAUUCCUGCCGAUGGCUUUCUUAACUCGGGAGUUCUGGGCAUGCAUGUUAUUGUCCUGUCCAGCAGCGACAGACCUGGGUUUUCCGGGGCACGGCCCAGGAGAAACCAGGACCCACAUCACACGCUGGCGUGUAGAUCCGUUCUGCGUGAGGAUCAAUAUGACCUCACUUGUGGGUUUUUCUCGACAAUUCUAAUAGCAAGACAGUCACGGUUCAGCUUUUCGUUUUAGUGGGGGCUGCGGGUGGGGCAGAGAGGCGGUGGCCGGUGUAGGGAACUAACGUGUAUUUAGCUCUGGCCAAUGUGAAAGGCGGGCUACUAGGUGAUUUAUGAUUUCUUUUAAUCCUCACAAAACCCCUGCAAGGGAGCGCUGUUAUCUGCAUUUUGUAGGUAAGAUAAUUUAGACUUCAAGCAGGGAGGUGGCCUGCACGGCAUCCCAGAGGAAGUAGCAGUAGUGGUAACUUGCCGAGCGCCUGUUAAACCAGGUGCCUGUGAGUGCGAUCUGCUUUCAUCUCCACAGCGACCCAGGGUAAGCAGCACUGCUAUCAUUUCCACCUUCUCAAUAAGGAAGCGGAGAAGUGAAGUGAAGUGAAGUAAGCCACCGCACGGUAAGUGCCGGGGCGGCACCUGAACACGGGCUGUCUCCUACCGGCUGACGCUGGAGCUGUUCUGAAGGAACUAGUACAGGCCCUGCUCCUUCCGUUCUUCCAUCCUGCCACGGCCGCUGAUGGAAGCGUGGUGUGCGCUGAGAUAAAGCCCUACGCAGCAUUACUGUGGCCCUCUCUCCCAGUGGUCUCCACUUGUCAAUUCUUAUCGGUUUUAUAUCUUCAUCAUUUCUAAGUUCUAUGUGGGGGCAUGUUCUAUAGAGUACAUUUUAUUAUUUUUUUCUAGAGAACAGUUUUUCUUCGGUCCUUAAGGACUCAGCUCCUUACGUGGGCUUCGGUGGAGGUCGUGGGGCAGCGCUUCGUGGGGCUCAUCGGGGUGGGGUGUUUGGACCUUCUGUGCUUCACACGAGCUGAAGACUCCCGGCAAGACUACCUUGCUGUGAAUGGCAUAUCUCACACAGUCAUGCAGUUUCCCACAUAGCCUGGGAAGCAUGGAGGACUGUAUAUACCUUAAUCUUUCUGCUGAUUCAAUAUGAUUUCAGUUGAAAGAACUUCAGUCUGCAAAAAUCAUGGCUAAUCUCUCUCACAGGUUCAGUAUAUGUGUGUUAUAUCAGUCAAUCCCAAAUGGAAUCCACUUCUGACCUCUGUUUUACAGCAAUGACACACGUCCCAGGCAGCAAUGAUCGUAAGUGCUCCACAGUGUCAGCCAGUGAGUGCCAGGCGCUGUGCUCAACGAUACAACUCUAUGAGGUAGAUUACAGUUGAGGACAUUGAUUAAGAGAGGUCAUGUGACCAGCUAGAGGUCACAGUUUGUAAAUGCCAGAGUCAGGAUUUGCAUCUGAGCCUCAAACCAGAGCAAUAAUAAGAAUGUUGUGUCCAUCUGUAAACACGUUGGGGAAGUUUCGUUUCUUUGUGGUUUUCUAUCUCUCAAAUGGAAGAAAACCACAUCCUUGUCUUGGUUGUAACCUCUUAUACUAUUCUGAAUCCUCCAUCAAGGUGUUAAAAAAAAAUACAGGUAAAUAUCUAACAAUUAAGCAUUGCUAUUUUAGGUUAGGAGACCCUCCUUUCAGCCUGAAGCCUCCAGGAAUGGCCUUUAGAUAGCAGGUUUGUUAGCUCUUGCUUGCCUGGGCUUGCAUGUUUGUGUUGUCCCCCCCCCACCCCCAUUCAUAUUUUGAAGCUCUAAUCCUUAGUGUGCUUAUAUUUGGAUACGGGGCCCUUAAGGAAGUAAUUAAAGAUAAAUGAGGUCAAAAGGGUGGGACCCUGAUCCAGUAGGACUGGUGUCUUUAUUAGAAGAGAUACCAAAGGGCUCUCUUUCUACCCCACCCCCUGCCCCCACCAACAGAAAAGGCCAUGUAAGGACACAGUGAGAAGGUGGCCCUCUACAAGCCACGAAGAGAGCUCUCACCAGGCGCUGAAUUAGCCAGCACCUUGAUCCAGGACUCCUAGCCUCCAGAACUGUGAGAAAAUACAUUUUGGUUGUUUAAAGCAAUCCAGUCUGUGAUAUUGUGUUAUGGCAUUAUGGGCAGACUCAUACAGGGGCCAAAAACUCUCAGCUUUUUGUCAUGAAAAGACAGAGAAAAGAACGUAGAUAAUUAGAAGAAAAGACGGGGUCAUUCGGGAAAAAUAGCUCAAAGAAUGCUGUAAUUAAUGAGGGUCUUCUGCCUACCUGUACAUUUGCAGCCUUCGGCUAGAAAAGAGUGAACCUCCAGUUACAUUUGUAAAUACGCAGAACAGCCUUCUCCACAACACACCUCAGGGAAGAGGUCUUACCCAGGGAACUUAUUAAAGCCCAAUGUUCAGGAAAUCUAGUGUAGGCAAAUGAAUAAAUAAAAUCCUGCAAACCUUGGGAUUUCUCAGAAGGAGAUUAUUUCCAUUCUCUAGGAAGCAUAUAAAAGCAUCCCUCCCCCCCCCCCCCCCCCCCAAUACCAGGUCUCCAAGAUAUGGCGGGGAAAAAAACCAAACCUUAAAUGGAGUUGACAACCUCAGGGCAUUUGUUUUGGGGUACAAAGAGAAAUGUGUUCUUUUAAGAGCAUUUUAUAAAAUGGAAACUGCUUUGUUCUUCAGUUUGGAUAUGGUUGAGGCCAUCACUAACACUAAUUCAUUAUAAUUGAAAAUGUUUAGAGCUUCUGUCUGAAACCCUUACUACAUUAAUUUAGAAGGUAGGAAUUCAUAUGCUCUUAAAUUCACCCUGGCUCCCCAUCUUCUAGGGAUGGACUAACUUUCCUGGACAGUUGUUGGCACCUAGUCAGUGGACGUGUGCCAGUCUUGUGUCUGUGUGGCGUGGAGUUGUAAGAUCCAGCCUUCAGUCCAAGGAGACACACAAAGGAGAUGAUUUAAUUAACAGAGCAAAGGCAAAAAAAACUGCAUUUUGGUUGGUCACAGAGGUAACCUGAAAAGAAGCCUGAACUGGACUGUUCCACCCACAUGUUACACUUGUUUAUACACCAGGGUCUUUUUCUUUUAUUAUGUUCAGCAUCUGAGUUCAGCUAUUGAUUCUACAGAGCCUUUUGGAAACACACAACUAUGCCACCAACACAAAAAAUCUUGAUAUAUUUCUAACAAGUUGUUUAUCAAUAGCUGCAGGUCUCUCCUAGUUUUCCAAAAUGCCAGUCAUCACACCUUUUUCACAGAGAAGCUGGGCUGGUCUGGGCUAUGAAACACAUUGCUGAAGAGUUUACAGAUACCAGUUAAGAAAUUGAGUACUUCUUGGGAAUGCAAACUGGUGCAGCUACUCUGGAAAACUGUAUGGAGAUUCCUCAAAAAACUAAACAUAGAACUACCCUAUGGUCCAGCAAUUGCACUACUAGGCAUUUAUCCACAGGAUACAGGUGUGCUGUUUCAAAGGGACACAUGCACCCCCGUGUUUAUAGCAGCACUAUCGACAAUAGCCAAAGUAUGGAGAGAGCCCAAAUGUCCAUUGAUGGAUGACUGGAUAAAAAAGAUGUGUAUGUAUAUAUAUGUACAUGUAUAUAUAUAUACAAUGGAGUAUUACUCGGCAAUCUAAAAGAAAGAAAUCUUGCCAUUUGCAACUACGUGGAUGGAACUGGAGAGUAUUAUGCUAAGCGAAAUUAUUCAGUCAGAGAAAGACAAAUAUCGUAUCACUUCACUCAUAUGAGGACUUUAAGACACAGAACAGAUGACCAUAAGAGAAGGGAAACAAAAAUAAUAUAAAAACAGGGAGGGGGAUAAAACAUAAGAGACUCUUAAAUAUACAGAACAAACAGGGCUGCUGGAGGGGUUGUGGGAGGGGCGAUGGACUAAAUGGGUAAGGGGCUUAAGGAAUCUACUCCUGAAAUCAUUGCUACACCAUGUGCCAAGUAACUUGGAUGUAAAUUAUAAAAAAUAAGUAAAUUAUGGAAAAUAAAAUUAAAAAAAAAA
Molecule: long non-coding RNA, 4355 nt
Organism: Acinonyx jubatus (cheetah)
Lineage: Eukaryota; Metazoa; Chordata; Mammalia; Carnivora; Felidae
Exons: 3
Source: RefSeq, a predicted model, not a curated record